Pseudopipra pipra is the source of this 1791-nucleotide long non-coding RNA. RefSeq lists it as uncharacterized. The transcript has 3 exons. The record is from RefSeq and is a predicted model, not a curated record. NCBI's taxonomy places the organism in Eukaryota, Metazoa, Chordata, Aves, Passeriformes, Pipridae.
GGCCAGGUCUGUCCACAGGGCAAGGCCUGCGGCCAGAGUGGACCCGCAGUCGGAAGGCACAUGGCACAUGGCAUGGGGACCACGCGGGACACCCACCUGGUAGCCCGCCCAUACUGUGCCCCCUGGAGCCUCUGACUGGCUAUGGCACCCCUCACUUUGGCCAGGGGGACAGUGAGGGGUCAGUGACCGCAGUGUCCCUCCUGGAGGACACGGCCACAGUAGCCAACGUCUAUAAAAGAGGUGCACACAUAGGCUCCAUCUUAGUUUGGCCUUCUGUCUCCGGACCAGCCAACCUGUGACCUCUUGGCAAAACUCAGCCUCCUGUUGCAUACUGGAGAACUUCAUUACCAUAAUAAAAUGUGAUGUUCUUGGCUGUGAAUUCCUGCUACAAUGUGAACUAGGAUCCCAAGGCAAGCAGUAGGAAAAAAGGGAUUGUUCUUCUGAAUUGCACAUCCGUCAGUCUCCUCCUGGGAAGAGACAGCUAUUUCUUAUCUUGGCUGUUUUACAUCACUGAGAUGUGAAGGGAGAAUUUGAAGGAAGGAAAUCAGAGAAAAGACAGAGAGACCUCUAUGUUUCAGAGCAUUGGAAGGAACUGCUGUCUACGUAUCAGAAGAAGGGUGGGGUGGUUGGUUGUGGUGGGGACAAGAAUGCUGUAGGUAAUGAAGAGCCAGAGAACCUCCACUGAUAAAGAAAACUUUUGGUGAAAAUAUCUUUGAUCUGCUAUCCUUUGCCCUUUUGAAAAAGACAAAUAAAUAUCUUUGCAUUAUUUUGGCCUACAAACUUCUUGUCAGUAGCGAUUAUCCUCUGAGAUCCUAAAGGAAAGAUGCAUCUACGUUAUUCAUGCCUCAAAGACUGAAAAGAAAGGAAAACAUCCUUUUGCACUAUUCCAGGACACACUGCCCUGGAAGUAGAGGCUUAUGACUAAAUCUAGUGUAAAUAAUGUCAUUUGGUAAUACUUCAAGAAAUGACAGCAGGGUUAAUUUAGUCUUCCCUCUGGGGACCAAGAAUGAACACAUGGGUUCUCUAAGAAGACACAAAGAAAUUUUAAUUAUCUCAUUUAGAACAAACUCUGUUUAAAGGACACAGAUUUGAAAUGCGUGAGGGGCAAACUUCAAAAGAUUGGGAGUUAAAGAUAAGCACCCAAAAUGUAGAGUACUUAUCUGAAGCUUAUCGGGACUAUCUGAUGCUCUGUGAAAUGGUACCAGAAAUCCUGUACCAGCAGGCCUUCUGCAGUAAAUUCAGAACUUCCUUUCAGGCUAGAAACUUGAUCUGUUUGGUGAUAAUUCCUCACCCCUGGACCUUGUGUAGAGAGCCUAGCAUGACAACUCGAAACCCAGUAACUUUAGAAACUCCUGCCAUGGAAGUGCUAACCAGGCAUUUCACAACUCAAAACUCUUCAUGCAGCAACAGGAGCUUGGACAAAAUCAGCCAGUUUCCCCUGUGACAGCAGAUGGUCUGAAAAGCAGCCCUUUCCCAAGAACUGCUGUGGACAAUGACACUUCUCCACAGCCUAGAAAAGAAACAUCAUCUCUUGGCAUCUGCUAGUGAGGGAAGGGAACAACGAACCAGGCUUUAUCAGGUUUAAUUGAACAUUUAUUUUCCAGCUUUUUGGACCUUUGUGUUAAAAACCACUAAGUUAAAAAUUGUAGAAAACGAUAUGCAAAAACACAUUUGCAAAAAAUUCGGUAACUAUCCUGGGGUAAAUAGCGGUCCUAAUAAACUGCUCUGGUCCCGAGAAGUGGAAAAAUGUGUCUAUGUGGGGAAAAAGAUUCCAAGCAGAUUAUUUCUCCU